Molecule: unclassified non-coding RNA, 369 nt
Filed under: fungal sp.
Lineage: Eukaryota; Fungi
Description: partial internal transcribed spacer region
Rfam family: Eukaryotic small subunit ribosomal RNA (bases 1-46)
Source: RNAcentral
AAGUCGUAACAAGGUAACCGUAGGUGAACCUGCGGUUGGAUCAUUAAAAAAUAAACUUCAUUGCCCAAAAUCAAUUGCCAACUGAGGAUCUUUAAUUGGAUGGUUGAAUACCCUUAGGUUGUUCCCCCUUUUAAAUUGAAGCCUCUCAAGGAACCACAAUUGAUUUUGUGUGCCAAUGUCGACAACUUGUGAACUGUUUCGUCUCUGGCGAGUUGGGGAGCCUAAAAAGCUACCUGUCAGCAGUGCACUUGUGCACUGCCGUGGACAAGCUCGCCACCCUUUUUUUUAACUUCAAUUUUGUUACUUUGAUGUCUGACAUUUAUUUUUAUAAUACAAAAACAACUUUUGGCAACGGAUCUCUUGGCUCUC